UGUCCCAGCCGCCGCGGUAAUACAGAGGGUGCAAGCGUUAAUCGGAUUUACUGGGCGUAAAGCGCGCGUAGGCGGCUAAUUAAGUCAAAUGUGAAAUCCCCGAGCUUAACUUGGGAAUUGCAUUCGAUACUGGUUAGCUAGAGUGUGGGAGAGGAUGGUAGAAUUCCAGGUGUAGCGGUGAAAUGCGUAGAGAUCUGGAGGAAUACCGAUGGCGAAGGCAGCCAUCUGGCCUAACACUGACGCUGAGGUGCGAAAGCAUGGGGAGCAAACAGGAUUAGAUACCCUGGUAGUCCAUGCCGUAAACGAUGUCUACUAGCCGUUGGGGCCUUUGAGGCUUUAGUGGCGCAGCUAACGCGAUAAGUAGACCGCCUGGGGAGUACGGUCGCAAGACUAAAACUCAAAUGAAUUGACGGGGGCCCGCACAAGCGGUGGAGCAUGUGGUUUAAUUCGAUGCAACGCGAAGAACCUUACCUGGCCUUGACAUAGUAAGAACUUUCCAGAGAUGGAUUGGUGCCUUCGGGAACUUACAUACAGGUGCUGCAUGGCUGUCUCAGCUCGUGUCGUGAGAUGUUGGGUUAAGUCCCGCAACGAGCGCAACCCUUUUCCUUAUUUGCCAGCGAGUAAUGUCGGGAACUUUAAGGAUACUGCCAGUGACAAACUGGAGGAAGGCGGGGACGACGUCAAGUCAUCAUGGCCCUUACGGCCAGGGCUACACACGUGCUACAAAGGUCGGUACAAAGGGUUGCUACCUAGCGAUAGGAUGCUAAUCUCAAAAAGCCGAUCGUAGUCCGGAUUGGAGUCUGCAACUCGACUCCAUGAAGUCGGAAUCGCUAGUAAUCGCGGAUCAGAAUGCCGCGGUGAAUACGUUCCCGGGCCUUGUACACACCGCCCGUCACACCAUGGGAGUUUGUUGCACCAGAAGUAGCUAGCCUAACUGCAAAGAGGGCGGUUACCACGGUGUGGCCGAUGACUGGGGUGAAGUCGUAACAAGGUAACCA
Molecule: ribosomal RNA, 998 nt
Filed under: uncultured Acinetobacter sp.
Lineage: Bacteria; Pseudomonadati; Pseudomonadota; Gammaproteobacteria; Moraxellales; Moraxellaceae
Description: bacterial SSU rRNA
Rfam family: Bacterial small subunit ribosomal RNA
Source: RNAcentral